RNA transcript from Arabidopsis thaliana (thale cress), 354 nucleotides. RefSeq lists it as uncharacterized. Lineage: Eukaryota; Viridiplantae; Streptophyta; Magnoliopsida; Brassicales; Brassicaceae. The record is from RefSeq. The transcript has 5 exons.
AUUAACAGAAACAAUAAGAGCAAAGCAGUCGAAUCCUAGCUUGGAUCAGACUUAAUAAAUUCCAAUGGAGAACUCUUAAGCUGAAAAUAACUAAACUUAGGAAAGUGAUUCAAUUGUCUCGGAAAAAGGAAGGAUCAGAAAGAUAUACAAUUCUUAAGCGGAAAAGAACCAAAUUUAAGAAAGCCAUAUAGUCUCCUCAAAAGAAGAAAGGCCAGAUCUUUAUUCCCAUGGUACAAUACUAAGGAAAACAGGGAUCGGAUUCUUCUUGUUAGAAAGUCUCGUGCAUAUGAGACAACAAAUAUAUUCUUCAGUGCUAAGAUUAUAGAACAAGAGAUGAAAAAUCAGUCAGCCUCU